UGGAUCUGAUUUAACUUAGUGGCGGACGGGUGAGUAAUGCGUGAGCAACCUGCCCUUCAGAGGGGGACAACAGUUGGAAACGACUGCUAAUACCGCAUAACACAUAGGUGUCGCAUGGCACUUAUGUCAAAGAUUUAUCGCUGAAAGAUGGCCUCGCGUCUGAUUAGCUAGUUGGUGAGGUAACGGCCCACCAAGGCGACGAUCAGUAGCCGGACUGAGAGGUUGAACGGCCACACUGGAACUGAGACACGGUCCAAACUCC
Molecule: ribosomal RNA, 262 nt
Filed under: uncultured Oscillospiraceae bacterium
Lineage: Bacteria; Bacillati; Bacillota; Clostridia; Eubacteriales; Oscillospiraceae
Description: partial 16S ribosomal RNA
Rfam family: Bacterial small subunit ribosomal RNA
Source: RNAcentral